GAUGAACGCUGGCGGCGCGCUUAACACAUGCAAGUCGAACGGACAGGCUCUGCUUUUGUGGUUUGCUCGCGUGGCGCACGAGUGAGUAACCCGUGAGUAACCUGCACUUGACCUUGUGAUAACUCUCCGAAACUGGGGCUAAUACCGGACAGGAGCUUUCGCUCCACGGUGGGGGUUGGCCAGUUCCGGUGGUUGGGGCUGGUCUCGUGGGAUGACAGCUUCUUGGUGGGGUCGUGGCUUACCAAGGCUUCGAGGGGUAGCCGGCCUGAGAGGGUGACCGGCCACAGUGCGACUGAGGUACGGCCCAGACUGGUACGGGAGGCAGCGGUGGGGAAUAUUGCACAAGGGGCGGAAGACUGAUGGAACGACGCCGCGUGCGGGAUGACCGCCUACGGGUUGUAAACCUCUUUCGCCUGGGACGAACCGAGGGUGACGGUAAUGGGUCAAAAAGCAGCGGCUAACUACGUG
Molecule: ribosomal RNA, 468 nt
Filed under: uncultured bacterium
Lineage: Bacteria
Description: partial 16S ribosomal RNA
Rfam family: Bacterial small subunit ribosomal RNA
Source: RNAcentral